CACUGUCCUCCCGCCACCAGCCGCCCCUGUCGCCGAGCCCGCAGUCGCCAGCGCGCCCCGAGCCCCUCCAGGCCAGAGGCUCCCGCAGGCGAUGGCGGACAAGAGGGCGGGGACCCCAGAAGCCGCGGCGCGCCCGCCGCCCGGCCUUGCCCGGGAGGGGGACGCGCGCACGGUCCCCGCGGCCCGGGCCCGAGAAGCUGGGGGGCGCGGGUCCCUCCACCCCGCAGCGGGCCCCGGGACCGCCUUCCCUUCCCCUGGGCGCGGGGAAGCGGCCUCCACGGCGACUACUCCGAGCCUGGAAAAUGGCCGGGUCCGGGACGAAGCCCCAGAAACCUGUGGUGCAGAGGGGCUAGGGACUCGGGCAGGAGCCAGCGAGAAGGCCGAGGACGCGAACAAGGAGGAGGGCGCCAUCUUCAAGAAGGAGCCAGCGGAGGAGGUGGAGAAGCAGCAGGAGGGGGAGGAGAAGCAGGAGGUGGCAGCGGAGGCCCAGGAGGGCCCGCGGCUCCUGAACCUUGGUGCCCUAAUUGUGGACCCACUGGAGGCCAUCCAGUGGGAGGCGGAGGCCGUGAGCGCCCAGGCCGACAGGGCCUACCUCCCGCUCGAGCGCAGGUUUGGGCGGAUGCACAGGUUGUACCUCGCCCGUAGGAGCUUCAUCAUCCAGAAUAUUCCGGGCUUCUGGGUCACCGCCUUCCUGAACCACCCGCAGCUCUCAGCCAUGAUCAGCCCUCGAGAUGAAGACAUGCUCUGCUACCUGAUGAAUUUGGAGGUGAGGGAGCUCAGGCACUCUAGGACAGGUUGCAAAUUCAAGUUCCGCUUUUGGAGCAACCCCUACUUCCAGAACAAGGUGAUAGUGAAGGAGUAUGAAUGCAGAGCCUCAGGCCGAGUGGUGUCUAUUGCGACUCGCAUCCGAUGGCACUGGGGCCAGGAACCCCCGGCCCUCGUACACAGGAACCGGGACACUGUCCGAAGCUUCUUCAGCUGGUUUUCACAGCACAGCCUCCCAGAGGCCGACAGGGUUGCCCAGAUUAUUAAAGAUGACCUGUGGCCCAACCCCCUGCAGUACUACCUGCUGGGGGAUAGGCCCUGCAGAGCCAGGGGAGGCCUCGCAAGGUGGCCCACGGAGACCCCUUCUAGGCCCUACGGGUUCCAGUCUGGCUAAGUGCUGCCUUGGGAUGUGCGGCCUACAUAAGCUUCCUCAUGCCUCCUACGGGUGGC
RNA transcript from Homo sapiens (human), 1215 nucleotides. It is a transcript of the gene named testis specific protein Y-linked 26, pseudogene, with no coding region annotated. NCBI's taxonomy places the organism in Eukaryota, Metazoa, Chordata, Mammalia, Primates, Hominidae. The record is from RefSeq and is marked provisional.